Molecule: ribosomal RNA, 497 nt
Filed under: uncultured bacterium
Lineage: Bacteria
Description: partial 16S ribosomal RNA
Rfam family: Bacterial small subunit ribosomal RNA
Source: RNAcentral
GACGAACGCUGGCGGCGUGCCUAAUACAUGCAAGUUGAGCGCUGAAGGUUGGUACUUGUACCAACUGGAUGAGCAGCGAACGGGUGGGUAACGCGUGGGGAAUCUGCCUUUGGGCGGGGGACAACAUUUGGAAACGAAUGCUAAUACCGCAUAAAAACUUUAAACACAAGUUUUAAGUUUGAAAGAUGCAAUUGCAUCACUCAAAGAUGAUCCCGCGUUGUAUUAGCUAGUUGGUGAGGUAAAGGCUCACCAAGGCGAUGAUACAUAGCCGACCUGAGAGGGUGAUCGGCCACAUUGGGACUGAGACACGGCCCAAACUCCUACGGGAGGCAGCAGUAGGGAAUCUUCGGCAAUGGACGAAAGUCUGACCGAGCAACGCCGCGUGAGUGAAGAAGGUUUUCGGAUCGUAAAACUCUGUUGGUAGAGAAGAACGUUGGUGAGAGUGGAAAGCUCAUCAAGUGACGGUAACUACCCAGAAAGGGACGGCUAACUACGUG